AUUGAACGCUGGCGGCAUGCUUUACACAUGCAAGUCGAACGGCAGCGGGGGCUUCGGUCCGCCGGCGAGUGGCGAACGGGUGAGUAAUGCAUCGGAACGUGCCCAGUCGUGGGGGAUAACACAUCGAAAGAUGUGCUAAUACCGCAUACGUCCUGAGGGAGAAAGCGGGGGAUCUUCGGACCUCGCGCGAUUGGAGCGGCCGAUGUCGGAUUAGCUAGUUGGUGAGGUAAAGGCUCACCAAGGCGACGAUCUGUAGCGGGUCUGAGAGGAUGAUCCGCCACACUGGGACUGAGACACGGCCCAGACUCCUACGGGUGGCAGCAGUGAGGAAUAUUGGUCAAUGGGCGAAAGCCCGAACCAGCAACGCCGCGUGGAGGAUGAAGGUUUUCGGACUGUAAACUUCUUUUCGGGGAGACGAGAAAGGACGGUAUCCCCGGAAUAAGCCACGGCAAACUACGUGCCAGCAGCCGCGGUAAGUACGCAGCGA
RNAcentral lists this ribosomal RNA (487 nucleotides) under uncultured bacterium. RNAcentral's name for it is "bacterial SSU rRNA". It matches the Rfam family "Bacterial small subunit ribosomal RNA", at positions 29 to 532 of the family's 1533-position model. The record is from RNAcentral.